RNAcentral lists this transfer RNA (62 nucleotides) under Eisenia nordenskioldi. RNAcentral describes it as "tRNA-Leu". Lineage: Eukaryota; Metazoa; Annelida; Clitellata; Crassiclitellata; Lumbricidae. The record is from RNAcentral.
AACAAGGUGGCAGAAUAUUGCCACAGGUUUAAACCCUGUAUACGAGGAAUCCUCCCUUGUUA